Long non-coding RNA from Ornithodoros turicata, 442 nucleotides. RefSeq lists it as uncharacterized. The transcript is spliced from 4 exons. NCBI's taxonomy places the organism in Eukaryota, Metazoa, Arthropoda, Arachnida, Ixodida, Argasidae. The record is from RefSeq and is a predicted model, not a curated record.
UAAAGCUGAGCCCUUUCAUUAGUCGCAGCUGUUUGGAGUAAUUAGGACGCGACCAUUUGCUCUGUGGUUUCAACCGUCAUUCUUCAAACACUCGUUAGGAAGAAAAGUGGUUGCCGGACGUUCUCCCUAUAUAGUAAUUUGAAGCACCCGCACCGCCAACGAUCGUAAAAGAGAACAUGCUGUUCGUGUGGAGUCUAACCCUGGUUCUGGCGGCGGCUACUGUGGUGCCAAUGGCAAUGGGCUUCCCUCAGGGCCCAGUUGUUGCACGCCAGAAAUGUGUUCCGAAUGGAUGGAAGUGCGCAUGGGACGCUGAGUGUUGCCACGGUCAUUGCCAUGGGAGGGAAUCGGGGCUAUACGUCCCGCUAUGCCAUGCAUUGUGAUGAGGAAGAUGGAAGAUUUUCCUCACUUGAAGUCGGCAAAUAAAGAGAUUCGGAGACGAGGA